GAAGCCCAAAUGCGAGUACAUUUUGUGGUCUGAUGCCUUUCUUCCAUUAUUAUUUUUGAGAGAAACAAAUUUGAAAUUAAUUUCAACAACUGUGCGGGUCCCCUAGAGGUCUAGGCAGUGUGAGGGGCUCAUAGUGGGUGUGUGUGGCAAGUGGGGCGCCCACAGAAGAUUGCAUAAGCCCAUCAACCAUCCAUCGACUCGAGACACUCGCCAGUCGCCAGUCGCCAGUCGCCGUGCUGCCUCAUUAGAGCUAAUCAAACUGAAUGCUUUAAUCAAAUUUUCACUUUCAAUUCGAUUUCGAUUCGAUGGAAAGCACAAAUACGGGCGUGUGGUGCAGAGGAGACCGCAGAAAAUGGCCAAACAACGAGUGAGGAAAAUGAAUGCGGAGAAAUUAGCAAAACGUGAAGCAGAAACCGCAAAAGAAGAGGCCCACAGCCGCGGCGGUGACAGGCGUGGGAGAGUACUGCCAGAGAUCUUAGGGAAUUGGCCGACGAUUAAGCAGAGCAGAUGCCCAAGCUCGAGAGUCAAAGACGGACAUCAGUAUCGACACAAUGGGGUUUCAGAAUCAGACAAAUACGUGUACCAAAGGAGGCAGGCGACCCACAAAUCAGACAAAUGUCUGUGCCCCAGGACCUAGUGCCUUAUCGGGAUGUUACGCUCGCGUGAUUUGUUUGAUUUGCGAUUGUUUAAACAUGGCUCUGUCUCGGGCCAACUCAAGCGGAAGGAGCCCAAGCCCUCUCACGCACCAAAACAGUUUCAGGGCUUACGUUACGUGACCUGGGACCUCAAAUCGGGACACAAUUAACUGAUUAGCUCGCCGGCAAUUGUCAGUUCUUUGGGCCAAAAGCGGCAGCAGCAGCAAACCAAAGAGUCUCUAAGGCUCCCUACGAGGCUUACCUGAGGGAGUGCUCAAGUGAACACCUGGCCAAGAACCAUUGCCUGCUUGAUGGCCAACACUUCACUGCUGAGUGGCCAACACUCACACUGAAGCGGCAACAAAUGACUUUUGUAUGGAUUGGCAUCAGCGGACAAUAAAAAUUAAAUCGCAUUCGUUGCGCCGCAGGACAGGAAACGGAAACGAACGACAAUCGAAGAAGCAGCUCCUGCGGUGUCUUUGUGCCGCAAAAACCUUGCCUCCUUGAAUGAACCAACAAAUUUCCUUUCAUUCAUUGUUUAUUUGAAAAUACUUCCAAUACUUCAAGCUGAGAGAGAGUCCAAGGCAUCGACUGACAGAUGGUUUUUGGAAGAGGCUACAGAUCUCUACAUAUAAAUAUAUUUUUAAAAAACUCCUAAAGCACUCUUCCAACAAGUGUAAAUCGUUUCAGAGGCAAACAAUUUAUUUUUUCAAAGUUUAAUUGUUGUUUAGAAAACUCUUCCUUUGCGCACACAAAACAAAAACGUAAAGACAAAUAUAAUUUAAGCAAAAACAUUUAUGUGACAAUGGAUUUGAUGUUCUCAGACUUUUGUUUUGUAAAGUACAAUAAAAAUAUGAGUUUUUCAUUA
Molecule: long non-coding RNA, 1503 nt
Organism: Drosophila pseudoobscura
Lineage: Eukaryota; Metazoa; Arthropoda; Insecta; Diptera; Drosophilidae
Exons: 3
Source: RefSeq, a predicted model, not a curated record